Molecule: ribosomal RNA, 445 nt
Filed under: uncultured bacterium
Lineage: Bacteria
Description: partial 16S ribosomal RNA
Rfam family: Bacterial small subunit ribosomal RNA
Source: RNAcentral
GUGAGGAAUAUUGGUCAAUGGACGAGAGUCUGAACCAGCCAAGUCGCGUGAAGGAAGACGGUUCUAUGAAUUGUAAACUUCUUUUGUGCAGGAAUAAAGUGGGUUACGUGUAACCUUUUGUAUGUACUGUACGAAUAAGGAUCGGCUAACUCCGUGCCAGCAGCCGCGGUAAUACGGAGGAUCCGAGCGUUAUCCGGAUUUAUUGGGUUUCAAGGGUGCGUAGGUGGAUUGAUAAGUCAGCGGUGAAAGUUUGCAGCUUAACUGUAAAAUUGCCGUUGAAACUGUCGGGCUUGAGUGCAAAUGAGGUAGGCGGAAUGUGUUGUGUAGCGGUGAAAUGCUUAGAUAUAACACAGAACUCCGAUUGCGAAGGCAGCUUACUGGGAUGCAACUGACACUGAUGCACGAAAGCGUGGGUAUCAAACAGGAUUAGAUACCCGGGUAGUCC